AUACGGGGUUCGCCAUCCCGAGAGGGGAGAACAGACUGUGAAACCGGCAGGACCGGCCUCCCCACGGUUAGCUCCGAGUCUCCCGCAGCUUGGCCCUCAGUCCCCUGUGGCUGCAAGAUGGCCGCUGGGCCAGCAGCGAGGACCCCCACGUCCCGUCCGGCCCAUCCGGUCCUGUCCCUGGGCAGCGCCCUGCUCUGCGCCCACAGCCAUGAGUAUUUCCCAAAUUGUUCAGGGAGGCCAGAUGGGUCAUCAGGGAAAAACCGCGAGUGGGUGUUUGCGUGGGAGGAGCUGCGGCCCGUGGGGUCCACAGUCUCUCGUGUUAAAAAUUAACGGGAGUCUAUGUUAAAAGGUUCAUCAGUUUAUCUGAACAAAGAGUGAUUGGUGAAAUGGAAAGCACCCAGCCAUGAUUUCUGGUCCACCAGAGGGGCAUAAAGGAAAGGCUUUCAUAAGAUGCAUGAGAAAGCAACCCAAAUUCAAGAAUUGGUUCCAGUUAUAUGGUAGCCUUAUUUGAACUAUCCAGAUGGAAAUGUCCUGGUUACAUAUUCAGAGGUUAAUUGCAUGUUUGUCAUGGGUUAAACCUGCAUUUUGCUUCAGGCUAAGAUAGUGUUUUAUAGGAAAUAUAUUUGAGUUAGGUUUUAGAUUUUUUUUUGUUUGUUUUUUGUUUUUUACCUAUGAACACAGGGCACUAGAGCCACUUUAGACUAAUUUUCUGAUCUUUAAUUAUUUUAACACUCCAGAGGAGGACUGGUUUUCUCCUGUGUUUUUUUAAUGUAUGGCAAGUGGAACCUCUAAUCGACCACCCUGUUUUUCAUCCUAACUCAGGCUUGCAGUAAAAUUAUCAGUUCCCACUUUCUUUGCUGCAUUCUCAAACGCAACACAUGAGACCAGCUUUCCCUUGCCAAUUUACAAUGCUGUUAACUAUAUGUCCUUUAUUAUACAUUUCGUUAAAGUUUUCUAUUAUUGGGUUUCUUUCUACUUCUCCCUACAGUUCUGGCAAUAUUUGCUUUUUAUAUUUAGAAGCCUCCCUUUUGGGUGCAUAAAUAUAUAAAGCUAUAUUCUCUUGAGAAAUUAACCUCUAUUAUUGUAUGGUAAACUCAUUUCAUUCUUGUGAGAGACAUUGCUAGAAAGUCUAUUUUGUCUAAUUUAAGCAUUACCAUUUCACUCCUUUGGUUAUUAUUUGCAUGGAAUAUCAUUUUCUAUCCUUUCACUUUUAGCCUAUGCUCUUAAUUCAUAAUUGAGUCUCUUGUAAGCAGCAUAUUAUGAGGUUUAAAAGAUUAAUUUAUCCACUCUGUCUGCUUUAGUCUCUUUUGGCUGCUAUAACAGAAUAUCACACACUGGUAAUUAAUAAAGAAUAGAAUUUUAUUUGACUCAUGAUUCUGGAGGCUGGGAAGCCAAAACAACAUUAUACUGGUAUAUGUUGAAGGUCUAGUUGCUGGAUAAUAACAUACACAAAGAUGUGAGGGAGAGAGAGCUUUUUUUUUUAAAUAUAUAACAGAUCCAUUCUUGUUAUAAUUAGCCCAUUCCCAUAAUAAGAACGUUAAUCCAUUCAUGAGGGCAGAGUGCUUAUAGCUUAAUUAAUUUUUAAAGGUUCCACCUGUUAAUUCUAACAUGUUGGCUAUUAAAUUUUAUCCUAAAUUUUGGAGAUGACAUUCAGUGUACAGCAGUAUCUGUUUAGUAGAUACUUUAAUCUUUUUAUUUGUAAGGUAGUGAUAGGUAAGCAGUUACUAUUGUACAUUUGUAGUUUUCUGUCCAUUUUAAGUUUGCUUCUUUUUUUUCUGGUUCUGUCUUUCCUGUGGUAUUGUUCAUUUUUGUUGAGACAAAGUUAUGCUUUCUUGCUCAGACUGAAGUGCAGUGGCAUAUCACAGCUCACUGUAGCCUUAACCUCCUGGGCUCAAAUAAUCGUCCCACCUUAGCCACCCAAGUAGCUUGGACUGCAGACAUGUACCACAACACCCAAGGAGAUUUGAUUCUUCCACCUUGGCCUCCCAAAGUGUUGGAAUUAUAAGCAGGAGACACCAUAUCCAAUGUGUAAUUUUUGUUGUUUGUGUAUGCUUUAAUUACUUUCUCUUUUUCUUUACUAUUUUUUUUUCCUACUGGUUAUCAUGAGACUUAUGUAAAACAUCUUGUAUUUUAAUAGUCUAGUUUAAGAUGAUAACAAUUUAUAGUAUUCUGAAAUUCAGUAUGUAUUUACCAUUUUAGUGACAUUUAUACUUUAGUAUUUUUCAUAUUGUUAGUUAGCAUUUCAUCAUAUCAAUGUGAAGAUUUCUUCCAGACCAUGGCUGGAGAAGGAAAGAAGGUGUGUUUUGCCUGAUUCAGGGACUAUAGAGAGAACCAAGUUCUGCAGGCCUGUCAUCUAAGUCUCAGGGCGGGGAGACCUUCCUUCCCCACGGGUUUGAGGCUAUGGCUAAGUGGUGAGCCUUGGUGAGACGCAGAAAGGAUCCAUCCCAGGCACUUGGCUAGAGCUUUUGCAUAUGCAGAAGAAGAAUUGGAUGAAAUUCAGCCUUCAUUAUGAUGAAAACUCUCAACAAGUUAGGAAUAGAAGGUAUGUGCCUUAAUACAGUAAAGGCCAUUUAUGAAAAAGCAAUGCUAACUUUAUACUGAAUAAGGAAAAGUUGAAAGCUUUCUCUCUGAGAUCUGGAACAAGACAAAUCAUCCAAACUUUCAGCCCUCUUAUUCAACAUAGUACUGGAAGUCCUAGCCAAGGAAAUUAGGCAAGAGGAAGAAAUAAAAGUUAUACUAAUUGGAAAGGAUGAAGUCAAAUGGUCUCUCAUUGUGGACAAAAUAAUCUUAUAUGUGAAAAACUCUAAACACUACACCAAAAACUAUUAGAACUACUAAACAAAUUCUGUAACAUUGCAGAAAAUUAACACAG
Molecule: long non-coding RNA, 2872 nt
Filed under: Homo sapiens (human)
Lineage: Eukaryota; Metazoa; Chordata; Mammalia; Primates; Hominidae
Description: HSALNT0402583
Source: RNAcentral